GUCUCGUCACCUCCUAAGCUUUCUGAUUUGUAUCUCCUGGUACAGUCCAAUGGUGGUGAUCAAUCGGAGACCAGUCAGACAGGGGUGAAUGCUUUCAUUUGCUGGACAUGUUUUAAAAAAAUCCCCCAAAAAUAGAGUGAAGACUUUUACUAAAAGGAUUUGGUCAAAAUAUGCAAACUACAGUAGUACUCCUAGCCUGUUAAGAUUCAGGUCCUGAAUCCCUGUUAACCAAUCAAAUCAGAGGACAGGACCUUAGUGCCUCAACACUGAGUUCCAAGCCUUAAGUGAAACCUGAAGGUUACAUAAUUAUCUGUGCGUGAUGGUCUCUGAACCCCUGAGGUGCCGUUGUUCCUGUGGCUAAUGCGCCUGCUCUUCUGCUCUUCUGGUCUCAAAGCUCCGGGCUUGCCAAGGAGAUGAAGACGAGCGGGAGAUAUGUAGCAGACAGAUAACAGUGGACAGAUGCCAAGUUAAUUGUAUUUUCAUUGCUGCUUUACUCUGUCUAAUGCAGUUUUAAGCACUAAUACGUUUGUGACAGGGCCUGUUGGGAAGAUCAGAAGAGAACUAGUCUACCUGGCAGGGUUUUUGGGAGAAGGUACCUCUGAUUGUUCAGACAGUUUGGCAAACGUGUGAUUGUUCAUGCAGUUGAGGCAGAGUUAAGAAAAUAAAACACUCCACCAACUGGCUGGUUCAAGUGAAUCUGUUAGCCCACCUGCAAACCCUUUCUCUGUGCUGGCAUCUGGGAUGUAAAACUGGGAUGUACUGGAAGGCAGUGACCAUGGUACCUCUUCCAAUAGUGGCUAAGAUGGCCCUGGAACAGGAUAAUACAUUAGUGUGAAUGACAAAAGCACCUUGUGCUGGGAGUUAAUGGCAGUUGCAUUGAUUAUCAUGGCAUGUGUGAAGGAGGCUGGAAGCUAAAUGAUGAACAGACGCAGAAGCUGUCUUCAUGUCGGU
Oreochromis niloticus (Nile tilapia) is the source of this 951-nucleotide long non-coding RNA. RefSeq lists it as uncharacterized. The record is from RefSeq and is a predicted model, not a curated record. The transcript has 3 exons. Lineage: Eukaryota; Metazoa; Chordata; Actinopteri; Cichliformes; Cichlidae.